This 1155-nucleotide long non-coding RNA is filed under the name Homo sapiens (human). Its description in RNAcentral is "MIR663A host gene". The record is from RNAcentral. Lineage: Eukaryota; Metazoa; Chordata; Mammalia; Primates; Hominidae.
GUGUCUGUGGCGGUGGGAUCCCGCGGCCGUGUUUUCCUGGUGGCCCGGCCAUGCCUGAGGUUUCUCCCUCAGCCGCCCCUCUGCGGGCUCCCAGAAAUACUAGGCUUUAGAAUUUCACCAUAUGAAUUUUGGGAGAGAGGAGCACAGUUCAGCCCAUAACUAACACACGACGGAAUGAAGUUGAUAAUAGUGAGACCUUGUUGGUACAAGACUAUGUAACAUAACCUGCGCUUCUCAACAAAGAAUUGCUUUUCUGACUUCUGCACUCAACUACUCAACAUGAAGGCAAUAAGAAUGAAGACCUCUAUGUAUAAUAAUUGACUUCCACUUAAUAAAUAAGGUUACUUGGUACACUGGUCGACAAAACCUUGAAAUGUUGAUGUUUAAGGGCUGUUGAUUGCUGGCAGCAAAGAAGUCCAACUGUGCUGGUACCCGAGAUAGCGUCUCCACAUUUUCUUCCAGGAUCAUCACCUUUGUUCUAAAUAGCUCCCACAUAGUGUGAACAGAAGUCAUAUGUUUUAGAUUUUCUGCCUUGGCACCCAGGAAACCAGUAUGAUUGAGUAAACAUAUUAAACUUCCUCUGCAUUUCCAGCCUGAACAGAUGUUGAGUACAAGCUGAUCCACCUACGUUCAACCUGAGAGAGUCCACAUCCACAGACUGUUUCAUUUCCCUUUUUCAAUUUACAUAGAAGCAUAGAUUCUUGCUGGCAUAUACAAAUGCGCCAUUUAAGGCAAUCAAAAAUGGUUCCACAUCUCAUCUGAUUUCCACAAUUGUUGCUGUAACGAUGGACUACUGAGGAGAGAGACAAUUUCUCUGGCACAUCUUCCCACAUUUUAGCAACAUGUUCAUGGAGAGCCAAUAUUCAGUAAUUACAGCCCAAUUCCUCACAAUUUCACAAUUCGCUAACAAUAUGCAUUUUCACAAUGUAAAGCUGAUUUUCCUUUAACCAAAUCAAACAUGAAAAGAUAGCUGCAUGCAAUGGGCAAUCUAGAUCAUUAGAAGAUUGAUGUAAAAUUAGAGGACACUGAGACUGGAAUAGAUUGCAAACUUCAGGGAGCUCAGAAAACUUGUAAACUCUACAUUUUGAGGAAAUAUGUUGUCGAUGCUUUUGCAACUCUAUGCAGUAACUUAACAAAUAAAGCCUUAAAGUAACU